Pelobates cultripes (western spadefoot toad) is the source of this 554-nucleotide non-coding RNA. The record is from the annotation of a GenBank genome assembly. NCBI's taxonomy places the organism in Eukaryota, Metazoa, Chordata, Amphibia, Anura, Pelobatidae.
GGCCAAGUUAAAUCAGUAAUUUUGUUCCAUCAAUUUUGAUUUGCUACAUUUUCAAGAAAUGUUCCCUGGAUCGUUAAUUAUUUGGUCUGAAAUAACCCCAAGAUUAUUUUGGUUGCGCAAUGCGAAACUUAAAGCGCUAGAAAGAGUUAGGCGUAAGCUGAACAAAGCCACAGAGAAAUUUAUGCCACGAAUUGGUGGUUUUUCUUUUCGCCAUGUGGAUAUCGAGGGUCAGUAUGAAGGGUUGUAUUUGAAAGAUGGUAUACAUUUGUCUGAUGUUAGAUUGGAUAUUUUAAAUAAUGAUUUGUAGUGUAUGAUCGAUAAGGCCGUGGUCUGGUGGGGUGGGCUGCAGCAUAAGUUGCAUGCUGCAGCGUGUGGGGUCACCUGCCUAAUUUAAAGGGGGGUGGACUAGCUGAGUUUAUGAUCAUUUGGUUGAAGUUCUGGCCAAUAGGGCGGAACUCUAGUGAGUUAUGUUUUAAUUCUCUGGGGGUUUAAAGACCGGAGAUGGUUAUAAAGUUAUUAAGUGUUGUUUGUGUUAUUUUAAAACUAAAUAAAAG